This 371-nucleotide unclassified non-coding RNA is filed under the name uncultured fungus. Its description in RNAcentral is "partial contains small subunit ribosomal RNA, internal transcribed spacer 1, and 5.8S ribosomal RNA". The stretch from base 1 to 73 matches the Rfam family "Eukaryotic small subunit ribosomal RNA", at positions 1759 to 1831 of the family's 1831-position model. The record is from RNAcentral. Lineage: Eukaryota; Fungi.
UCAAACUUGGUCAUUUAGAGGAAGUAAAAGUCGUAACAAGGUUUCCGUAGGUGAACCUGCGGAAGGAUCAUUACCGGCUCCGUCCCGACCCCGUCGGGACCUACACCACCGACCCGCACGUUCCCUCGCAGUCGCGGGGGUUCGUGGGGAGGUUACGGUUUACGUGUCCACCCCCUGUGAAACCUAUCUUUUUGCUUCGACAGCACCGAGCGGGUCACCGCGAGGGUAAGGCUGUCGGAAGCCUUCAGCAAAACCGUUUGAUGAAAUUUCGUGCUGUCUGAUACACAUCUCGGCCCGAGAAAUCGGGUAGAAUCAAUAUUAAAACUUUCAGCAACGGAUCUCUUGGUUCCCGCAUCGAUGAAGAACGCAGC